Molecule: non-coding RNA, 1648 nt
Organism: Phoenix dactylifera (date palm)
Lineage: Eukaryota; Viridiplantae; Streptophyta; Magnoliopsida; Arecales; Arecaceae
Source: RefSeq, a predicted model, not a curated record
CCCAACCAUGUUUGCUGCAUGUGGAACCGGCUGUGUCGAUCCCGGGCGUUGCCCUCAGACCCUUUCGUUUCCCAAAGCUCAUUCACCACACCCGGAGGAACAAAGCCAAACAAGUCCCCUGAGAUGGCCGCCGGAGCUGUAACGCUUGGCCUUCCUCUGCCCUCUUACCGCCUCUCCACCCCGUUCCCGCCGUCAGCUCCAAGACCCCGCAAUCUCUUCCCAAAAGCCCACCGGAGGAGACCAUACCUACGUCCCAUCUCGUCUUCUCUGCUCGAAGGCGAGCAGCAGCUCUCCUUCACCGAGCCCGAAGCUGUCCUCCUCGAAUCCCUUCUCGGGAUACAGGGUAGAGGCCGCGCCGCUUCUCCCCAGCAGCUCCAGGAUGUCGAGCGUGCCGUGCAAACCCUGGAGAGUCUGCAAGGUCUUCCUGAACCUACAAGUUCCAGUCUGAUUGAAGGUUGCUGGCAACUGAUCUUCACUACAAGACCUGGAACAGCAUCCCCAAUACAAAGAACAUUUGUCGGGGUUGACUUUUUCAAAAUCUUUCAAGAGGUUUACCUUAGAACAGAUGACCCAAGGGUAUCCAACAUUGUGAAAUUCUCAGAUGCAAUUGGUGAGCUAAAAGUAGAGGCAGCAGCAAAAAUCAAAGAUAGAAGACGCAUCCUUUUCCAAUUUGACCGUGCAGCAUUCUCCUUUAAAUUCUUACCUUUCAAGGUUCCAUACCCUGUGCCAUUUAGGCUUCUUGGAGAUGAAGCAAAGGGUUGGUUGGACACUACAUAUUUAUCCCAUAAUGGAAAUAUACGUAUUUCAAGAGGGAACAAGGGUACCACAUUUGUGCUGCAAAAGGAAACCGAACCAAGACAAAGGUUGCUAUCAGCCAUAUCUGGUGGGACAGGAGUAACAGAGGUGAUUGAUGAACUUGUAUCUUUGAAUCCGAAAGAGGUUGCAGAUGUAUCAGUAACUAUGGAGGGAGAAUGGCAAUUACUGUGGGCUUCACAGAUGAAAAAUGAAAGCUGGUCAUCCAUUGCUGCUAAUGGUCUCAAAGGUUUACAGAUUGUAACAGUAGAUGGACGACUGGAGAAUCUGGUUGACCCAUUUCCAGGUUUCAAAAUUAGUGCUAAUGGCAAUCUUAUCAGAAUAUCCAACAGCAACAUGUACAUUGUCACGAUGAAAGAUGGGGCUGUUUCAGUUGGUACCUUAAAAUUCCCCCUGGAUAUUAAGAGCGAGUUUCGCAUGGAAUUGCUAAUACCAAGGCUUCUUUGCUACUGGCUCACGAAAAGGAAAGCCGCAUCAUCAAUCUAAGGAGUUGGUCAGCAACAGUUGCUUGUGCUGCCUGGGAUCGAUGCUAGACCUGAUCUAAUGGACUCCAGGUGCUGCCCAUUAAAGUUUUUCCUAUAUUAGUUGCUGGCUAAGAACAUACUCCCUGACCAUCCUCCAUAUCCCAAGCUGGACUGAAGUUAUGAUGUCUAAUCCAGUUCACCUGAUACAAGGAUGAGCCAGAUUCUUCACCUGCAGCUCCACAAGAUCUUUCUUUAGAUAUAAAGAAAACGUAAAAGAUGUGAACCCCCUGCAGGUGUAUAACUGUCAUUAAUUUUCUAUUAGAUAAAAAUGUUCUCUUUUUUAUCAAAUGCUCGGCUUGCUGUUGGGUUUA